Molecule: long non-coding RNA, 560 nt
Organism: Salvia splendens (bonfire salvia)
Lineage: Eukaryota; Viridiplantae; Streptophyta; Magnoliopsida; Lamiales; Lamiaceae
Exons: 4
Source: RefSeq, a predicted model, not a curated record
CAUUACUAUACGGUUUUCUCCAUAUCUCCUUCUCUCCUUAAAAAUCUCCAACCAAAUACUCUCUAUUAACUCCCUUUAUACAUCUCCUCCCACAAUCUCAACAAACCGCCGUUCCUGCAGCUUUUCUUCCCUUCAUUGAAGAGUGUGGAGGAGAAACCCAGAGAGUUGUGAUCUUUUUCAAUACCUUCUCUUCUGCAUGUUCUGCUUCUUCCGUGAAGGGUGAACUUGUGCACGUUGUCGCGGUUGGAACAGAAAGUGAUUGGGGAGUUAAGCAUUUGAGAUUGAGCGGCGAUGGACGUGGAGGAUGUUGAGCAGAGUUCAUGGAUUGUUUUGUCAUGAUUAAUAAUUGUUGGAUUUGUCGUGUCUUCAUACUCGGCAUUUUCCGUGUCUUGAACGCUUCCGCUAAGAGUACUUUUCUUUAGAAUUGUUUAUUCGUGCAAAGUCUAACUCGUUUGAAAAUUGUUUAUUGUCCAUUCUUUAUUUACUUAGAGUUCGUAUUAUUGUUAGGAUAAUAUUAUGACGUUUUCAAAGUUAAUCCAAUUAUUAAAUUUUUGGUCAAA